CAGUAGGGAAUCUUCCACAAUGGGCGCAAGCCUGAUGGAGCAACGCCGCGUGUGUGAUGAAGGCUUUCGGGUCGUAAAGCACUGUUGUAUGGGAAGAAAUGCUAGAAUAGGGAAUGAUUCUAGUUCGACGGUACCAUACCAGAAAGGGACGGCUAAAUACGUGCCAG
Molecule: ribosomal RNA, 167 nt
Filed under: uncultured bacterium
Lineage: Bacteria
Description: partial 16S rRNA
Rfam family: Bacterial small subunit ribosomal RNA
Source: RNAcentral